CAUACACACCUAUCAAAAA
RNAcentral lists this small RNA (19 nucleotides) under Arabidopsis thaliana (thale cress). Its description in RNAcentral is "ATSL032590". Lineage: Eukaryota; Viridiplantae; Streptophyta; Magnoliopsida; Brassicales; Brassicaceae. The record is from RNAcentral.